AAAACCCCAUUCUCAAAUUUAUUCAUCAAAUUUCACCCUUCCCUCUCUAAACAAACUAUUUCUAAAAACCUCCAUUAGAGAUGAAACUCAAGAAAAUCAUAGAGGUUGGAUUUUCAUGGUUUGUUUAUCAAGUUGUCAUGGUCAUGGUAUGUAAUGAGGUGAUGGAUGAUUAGAGGAUGUCUCUUAAAGUGAAGGGCUUGAUACAUGAUUCCAAGCUCAACAAAGGAAAAUAUUUUUGAAUUUUUUCAAACAAGAAGCUAAAGAAAGAAUAAAGUUUCAUGAAUAGAAAAGUGAUGAUAAUUUCUACUGAAAAAAUGGAGAAUAUUAACCAAGAUUUCAUAAAAAUCCUUGAUGUGAAAAGACCUCGCAGACAUUGUUAUCUUUUAGAAUCUCGACUUUUUAUGACAGGUACAAAAAAAAGUCGAAGCCAUAAUUCAUACGUAGGACACCUGACAUUGAUCUAUAAUCUUCAUGUAUUUUUAUUUGUUACGCAUUCUUUAUUCAAGGAGAUUCAAAUCAAAGGAAGGGAUUUCUACCUCUAAGUCUAUGACAUAAGUACUUGAACAUUAGAUGGCUUUCAAUGUUUACCAGGUUCCUCUACUAUAGAUGUUUAAUCGUUAGGGGGACAUCAAUUCUUAUCAGAUUUUGAUACUAUAGAGAAUCAUCUUUGAUCAUCAUUGUGCAUGAAAUUCAUUGAGAGUAUCAAAAAAUUUAAUUCGUAUUGUUCUCAAAUUUUUGGAGGACAGGAAAACUCUUCGGGAUUACUU
Long non-coding RNA from Solanum lycopersicum (tomato), 767 nucleotides. RefSeq lists it as uncharacterized. The record is from RefSeq and is a predicted model, not a curated record. Lineage: Eukaryota; Viridiplantae; Streptophyta; Magnoliopsida; Solanales; Solanaceae.